UACGUAGGUGGCAAGCGUUGUCCGGAUUUACUGGGUGUAAAGGGCGUGCAGCCGGAGAGACAAGUCAGAUGUGAAAUCCACGGGCUCAACUCGUGAACUGCAUUUGAAACUGUUUCCCUUGAGUGUCGGAGAGGUAAUCGGAAUUCCUUGUGUAGCGGUGAGAUGCGUAGAUAUAAGGAAGAACACCAGUGGCGAAGGCGGAUUACUGGACGAUAACUGACGGUGAGGCGCGAAAGCGUGGGGAGCAAACAGG
This 253-nucleotide ribosomal RNA is filed under the name uncultured bacterium. RNAcentral describes it as "partial 16S ribosomal RNA". It matches the Rfam family "Bacterial small subunit ribosomal RNA", at positions 524 to 776 of the family's 1533-position model. The record is from RNAcentral.